AUGGCUGUCGUCAGCUCGUGUCGUGAGAUGUUGGGUUAAGUCCCGCAACGAGCGCAACCCUUAUUUUUAGUUACCAAUUCGUUGGGUUCUCUAGAAAGACUGCCGGUGACAAACCGGAGGAAGGUGAGGAUGACGUCAAGUCAGCAUGCCCCUUAUGUCCUGGGCUACACACGUGCUACAAUGGCUAAGACAAAGAGUCGCGAGCUUGCAAAAGUCAGCUAAUCUCAUAAACUUAGCCUAAGUUCAGAUUGUAGGCUGCAACUCGCCUACAUGAAGUUGGAAUCGCUAGUAAUCGCUAAUCAGCCAUACAGC
Molecule: ribosomal RNA, 312 nt
Filed under: uncultured cyanobacterium
Lineage: Bacteria; Bacillati; Cyanobacteriota
Description: bacterial SSU rRNA
Rfam family: Bacterial small subunit ribosomal RNA
Source: RNAcentral